AACACAGCUGCACGCUUAGCUGUGUGUGAACUGAAUAACGACGUGCGGUGACCAGACACCAACAGGCUUUGAAAGAAGUGACGUGAUUUUUGCUGAUCAUGAUACGUGUCUAUGCGUCUGUUAUUUACAUAGUGAUUUGUGGACUGACCAGCUAACAGCAAAGUUUGCACUUGAUGCAAUUAUUCACACUCGAUAUACUGUGGAAAAUGAAAUCUGAACCACGUUUUGGGGGACUCCUGUUAUUUCUUAAACAUCGUAACUGAAAUUCAUGCAUAUCCAUACCAGGCAAAACCAAGGAAUGCUGUAACUAUGGGGUCUUACUGUAUUGCCCAGGCUCGUCUCAAACUCCUAGCCUCAAGUGCUCCUCCCAACUCAGCCUCUGCAGUAGCUGGGAUUACAGGGCAUGGGCCACUGUGCCUGGCUCAACAAAUAUCCUUCCAAGAGAAGACGAAGAGAGAAGACAAUUACAAAAGGCCAUGUGAAGACAGAAGCAGAGAUGGGAGGGAGGCGGUCACAAGCCAAAGAAUGCCCGCAGCCACCAGGAGCUGAAAGAGAAGGAAAGCUUCUCUCCCAGAGCCUCCAGAGGCAGUGUGGCCCUGCCAACACCUUGAUCUCAGAUUUCUGGCCUCCAGAAUCGAUCUAUUGCCUGGGACCAUGUGUGCACCCUGGAGAGAGUGACCAUGGUGCUCAUGGUAAGUGUGGCUAACAAAAAUGGCACACCCACAUCCCAAGUGCCAGCUCUCUGCUCUCUCUGCUCACAGUGAAGACAGAGUGUCCUCUGAGCCCAGACUCCUGUCCCUGCACCCAGCUCUGCUCUGCAGUAAUUGAGACUCCUUGGGCAACUUGUCUCCCUUCUCCAAAUCUCAGUUUGCUCAGCUGGAAAAUAGAGAUGCUAAUCACAGCACUCACGUCACAGGUGUUUUGUGUGACAAGUGAGUAAGAUGGGAGAGAAGAAGCAAGUUCUAAGUCCAAUGCCUGCCUUGUGAUCAAUACCUUAUAAAUAUGGGUCAUGAUGCAAUAUUUUCAAGUCCAGACUCAGGGCUGGCUUCCCUCUGCCACUUGUGCACUGUUUAAUGACUUGUGGCCAGGUCACCUUGACCUGCCCUAGCUUCAAUCUCUGAAUCUCUGAAAUAAAGUACUCAUUAUCCCUGCCCUGCAGAGCAGUGUUAGGAUCAAAGACAAUAAAUAAAGCAGGUAAAAGGCUUACCACGCAGCUUGACACGUAAUACGUGCUCAAUCAGGAUUAGUUAUUAUUAUUAUUAUAUAAGCACUUUUACAUAUUACCUCAUUUAAUUCUCACAUCUACUCUCUGAGACAGAAAACAACAGGUAGGGUUGCCCAUUUGUGUAUGUUCCAGAAACAAUCACGUAUUCUGGGAAUGAAUGAAUGCAGGGAGGAAUGAAUGAAUCACCACGAUAAUUUGUGUCUUCUGCGACAGUGGGUGCAUAGUCUCUAUUUCUCGGAGCAAUGGUGAUGUCUGCCAAAAUAAAUUAACUUUCCCACAUCAAUGACUCAUUUGGCAGGAAUAACAGCCUUGCAAACUGAAUAGAGAAUGAAGAAGGAGGACGCCUCAGGCAGGGGGAGAGAGAGGAGUUUGUAAUGACUCAAGAUACAAGAACCAGCUUCUUAUUCAUUCUCUUUCUCUCCCUAACCAAAAAUGUAGGCCCUUAUAUACAUAUACAGUUUUUGAGACAGGGGCUCGCUGUCACCCAGGCUGGAGUGCAGUGGCACCAUCUUGGCUUACUGCAACCUCCGCCUCCCAGGCUUAAGUGAUCCUCCCACCUCAGCCUCCCCAGUAGCUGGGACUAUAGACGUGAGCCACUGAGCCCAGCCAGCCUGAUAUACAUAUUUAACCUUUUAAACUGGAGAAGUGGAAGUUCCACGCUAUUAAGUGGCUUUGGAUAUCAGAACCAUAAAAAGAAGCUUACAGACAGCAUCAUGUAACCUUUGCUGGGUGGACAGGGGUCCAGGACAGGACAGGUGUCCAGGACAUCAUGUGACCUUUGCUGGGUGGACAGGGGGUCCAGGACAGGACAUGGGUCCAGGACAGGACAUGGGUCCAGGACAGGACAGGGGUCCAGGACAUCAUGUGACCUUUGCUAGGUGGACAGGGGUUCAGCGCUCACACCAUGUGUGGCAGGGCCAGCGCUGGGCCCCAGGACACCUGACUUCCAUCCAGUGCUCCUUCCUUAUCCCACUGCUUCUGGAUCGAUGCAGGAUCUUCUCAGACACUUCCGCCACCUGGCCAUUCUCACACUCUGCUCAAGACUCCUUCCAUGGCCGGGGAAACUUCAGGACAGAGCAAAGAAAGAUCAAAGACUGAGACUGCAGAUCCUCACGAGGAAGAAUAAAGGAGUUGGGAGGAGAUGGCUAAGAUGGACUUAAUUACCUACUUCUCAUCUGCAUGAGGGUUGUAUGAGGAGGCAAGUUAUCUGCCCUCUUAAACACUGCACAAAUGAUAUUUACCAAUUGAUGAGUUUUAGGCUCUUCUGACGUUUGCUGAGUUCAUGAUUCAUUCACAAGAGGGACUUUGAAUCUACUUAAAAAUACUCGUGGAGCUGAAAGAAGCAACAACUUAACGCUAGGUCCACACAGUUCAGGAAGAACCGCAGCUCAGGCCAAGGACUUACUACUCUUCUAUUGGAACCAACUCCAACAACCUUCUGCUUCUACUAAUCAGACACAAGGCAGCAUCUGGGGUGGGAGUAGGUUGGAAAGGAGUGAGCUUCUGUUUUAUUUUUCCUUCUUCAGCAAUCGCGAAGGUAUAUCCACGCAGUAGAGAUGACAUGACCUGGAAUCGAAUUCUGGCUCCACCACUGCCUAGCCAUUGAUCUCGGCCAAAUCACUUAGCAUUCCUAAGCCUCAGUCGCUUCUGUGUUAAAAGGGCUUAUAAUACCUACCACAAAUGUUGUGAUCAGUGGUGCUGGUCAAUGUUUAAUAACUAGUUCUCUGGAGGAAAACCCUGGUAUAUAGCAUUUGCCCAUUUCUAUGGUGUAAAUACUCCCACCAAAGUCAAUCUCAAACUCCCAAGGGGAGGUCACUGAACACAGAGUUGGGAAGACAGGCACAGGAGCAGACACUGUAGAGAAUUUUCACCAAACAGAUAUCAUAAUCUUAAGAGCAUAGGUAAUGGGAGAACAUAGUAAAUUAAGAAGUGAGGAGUUUUAGUGUUAUUACUUUUAUCUUUCAAUUCAAUGUAUCUAUUUAAUUGUAAGUUUAUAUAAUUUUUUAUUUUUUUUCGAGACAGUCUCACUCUGUUGUCCAGGCUGGAGUGCAGUGGCACCAUUUUGCUCACUGCAACCUCUGUCUCCCAGGUUCAAGCGAUUCUCCUGCCUCAGCCUCCCGAGUAGCUGGGAUUACAGACACACACCACCACACCCAGCUAAUUUUUGUAUUUUUUGUAUUGACGGAGUUUCAUCAUGUUGGCCAGGCUGAUCUCCAACUCCUGGCCUCCAGUGAUCCGCCCACCUCGGCCUCCCAAAGUGCUGGGAUUACAGGCGUGAGUCACCACGCCCAGCCCAUACAAUUUCUUUUCUUUUCUUUUCUUUUCCUCUUUUUUGAGACAGGGUCUUGCUCUGUCACCCAGGCUGGAGUGCAGUGGUGUGAUCAUGGCUCACUGCAACCUCAACUUCCCAGGCUGAAGUGAUCCUCCCACCUCAUGAGGAGCUGGAAUUACAGGUGCAUGCUACCACGCCUGGCUAUCUUUUUAAUUCUUUUGUAGAGACAAGGUCUCCCUAUGUUACCCAGGCUGGUCUUGAACUCCUAGGCUGACGUGAUCCUCCCAGCUUGGCCUCCCAAAGUGCUGGGAUUACAGGAGUGAGCCACCACGCCCCACCAGUUCAUAUAAUUUCUUUAAAAUAAUAGUUGUGCCUUCCUGUUCUCAAAAAUCCAAUACCCUAGGAGACAUAGGGAGCCAGGUUUAGCGGUAGAGGGGAUGAAUUUGCAGGUAACUAAAGAACAGUAUAGUUGAUUGGGAGGUUCAGGGCCUGCAGUGUGCAGUGGAACUGACCUGUACUCGCCCUGCUUCCCCAAACGGGUGACCUUGGUCAAGCACUCCCAUUUCUCUGCUUCAGUGUGCUCAUUCAUAAAAUAAUCAUCUGCUCGUCGGGUUAAUGCCAGUUCUAAAUGAGAUGAUCUGGGGAAAACUUUUAGCACAGAGCCUGGCAUAUAGUAACAGCUCAAUAAAUGGUGGCAGCCCUCAUUAGUGAUGUGAUAAUUGUGCUAAUGGGGAAGCGUACACAUUGCAUCUGCAUUGGGAGCCUGGCCAAGGUACAGAUUAAGGUGCUGGGUUCAGGCCAAGCUCGAGGAAGCAAACGAGGGCUGCAGUUUACGCCGGAAAAUUAGGUGGGUGUUGACUUGGGCAGAUGGCAGCCCAGCCCUUAAAAAAAAAAAAAAAAGUCCGGAAAUAGGAACAUUGGAUGCAUGCCUCUCUCUCUAGGGUGGGAACAAGGGACAGGAGAGCAAAUCAAUGGGCUUAAAAAGUCAAAGCAGGUCAAGUGGGCCGGGUGUGGUGGCUCAUGCCUGUAAUCCCAGCUCCUUGGGAGGCCAAGGUGAGCGAAUCACCUGAGGUCAGGAGUUCAAGACCAGCCUGGCCAAUAUGGUGAAACCCCGUCUCCACUAAACAUACAAAAAUUAGCCAGGCGUGGUGGCACAUGCCUGUAACCGCACCUACUUGGGAGGCUGAGGAAAGAGAAUCACCUGAACCCGGGAGGCGGAGGCUUCAGUGAGCCAAGAUUGUGCCACUGCGCUCCAACCUGGGCAAUAGAGUGAGACUCCAUCUCAAAAAAUAAAAUAAGGCUGGGUGCCAUGGUUCAUGCCUGUAAUCCCAACGCUUGGGGAGGCUGAGGCGGGCAGAUCACCUGAGGCCAGGAGUUCAAGACCAGCGUGGCCAACAUGGUGAAAUCCCAUCUCUACUAAAAAUACAAAAAUUAGAUGGGCAUGGUGGCAUGUACAUGUAAUCUCAGCUACUCAGGAGACUGAGGCACAAGAAUCAUUUGAACCCUGGAGGCGGAGUUUUCAGGGAGCUGAGAUCCGGCCACUGCACUCCAGCCUGGGCAACAGAUUGAGGCUCUGUCUCAAUAAAAUAAAAUAAAAUAAAAUGAAUAAAAUAAAAUAAAAUAAACCCAGGUCAACUGCUCCAAGGAACAGUCUGCCUUCACCUGUCAGCAUUUGUGGAGGCUAGUGAAGCACAUGCUGUUGUUGGCGUGGAGAAUCAUGAACUGAUGGUGGUGGCUGUAUGAACCGCUUCGUGGGCAGUGGAUCCGACCAGAGCUGAACUUUAGAAAAGAUCUGUUGCUUGGAUAAGGAACAGAUUCGGUUGCUCAACCCAACCUGCCCUUAUCGCCAAUGACCCAGCUCAACGUUCUCUCUGGUUUAGAGGAAAACAAACAGGACGUUAGGAAGUAACCAGAUCAGAUGGUCAGAGGUGGAUCUAGGGGGAGCCGGGACACUCUCUAACGCUCCUCCAGCAGGAGAUGUCCUGGGCGGUGCCUAGAGGAAUGUGAUGGCUUCACACAUGUGGAAGAGCCUAGCGAGUGAGGCUCCCUGCAGCUAUGGAUGUCCACUGCAGCCUCAUGUCCUGGCCUCGCCCUCCCAGUAUGAGCUUGGAAUUUUCUUAAACAAGAAAUUUCCAGUGUUGGCCAGGCGCAGUCCCAGCACCUUUGGAGGCUGAGGCGGGUGGGUCACCUGAGGUCAGGAGUUCGAGACCAGCCUGGCUAACAUGGUGAAAUUCUGUCUGUACUAAAAAAUACAAAAAUUAGCUGGGCCUGGUGGCGUGUGCCUGUAGUUCCAGCUACUUAGGAGGCGGAAGCAGGAGAAUCGCUUGAACCUGGGAGGCAGACAUUGCAGUGAGCCAAGAUCACGCCACCGCACUCCAGCCUGGGCAACAGAGUGCCUCA
Molecule: long non-coding RNA, 5897 nt
Filed under: Homo sapiens (human)
Lineage: Eukaryota; Metazoa; Chordata; Mammalia; Primates; Hominidae
Description: HSALNT0195529
Source: RNAcentral